CGAUGGGCACGAUACCUCAGGCAACCUAAUGUUUAACCUUUUAAGCAGGGGAGGUUGAGACCUGCAAAACAUAAAAACAUAGUCCGUCCUUAGACAUAACCCCUCAAACUUGAUUGGCAAGGACAUACCCCCGCCUAGCUGUGACUAACUGAACCUAAAAGGGGUGGGCGGGCAGGAAGCUGUUUGCUGGCCCGUAUCCCAAGUGGCACUGAG
Molecule: non-coding RNA, 213 nt
Organism: Pelobates cultripes (western spadefoot toad)
Lineage: Eukaryota; Metazoa; Chordata; Amphibia; Anura; Pelobatidae
Source: the annotation of a GenBank genome assembly